GACGAACGCUGGCGGCGUGCUUAACACAUGCAAGUCGAACGGACUUUAGCGGUAGAAGUUUUCGGACGGAAACUGCGAAGAGUUAGUGGCGGACGGGUGAGUAACGCGUGAGGAACCUGCCUUUCAGAGGGGGACAACAGUUGGAAACGACUGCUAAUACCGCAUAACGCAGCAGUACCGCAUGGUACAACUGCCAAAGGAGCAAUCCGCUGAAAGAUGGCCUCGCGUCUGAUUAGAUAGUUGGUGGGGUAACGGCCUACCAAGUCAACGAUCAGUAGCCGGACUGAGAGGUUGAACGGCCACAUUGGGACUGAGACACGGCCCAGACUCCUACGGGAGGCAGCAGUGGGGAAUAUUGCGCAAUGGGGGAAACCCUGACGCAGCAACGCCGCGUGAAGGAAGAAGGUCUUCGGAUUGAAACUUUGUCUGCAGGGAAGAUAAUGACAGUACCUGUGGAGGAAGCUCCGGCUAACUACGUG
Molecule: ribosomal RNA, 479 nt
Filed under: uncultured bacterium
Lineage: Bacteria
Description: bacterial SSU rRNA
Rfam family: Bacterial small subunit ribosomal RNA
Source: RNAcentral